GGAUGAGUAAAGUGGCGCACGGGUGAGUAAUACAUGGGAACAUGCCCUCGAAUGGGGAAUAACGUUUGGAAACGAACGCUAAUACCGCAUAGUCUCGCAAGAGUAAAGGUGGCGCCGCAAGGGCUACCGUUCGAGGAUUGGCCCAUGUCCCAUUAGCUAGUUGGCAGGGUAAUGGCCUACCAAGGCGACGAUGGGUAACUGGUCUGAGAGGAUGAUCAGUCACACUGGAACUGAGACACGGUCCAGACUCC
This 251-nucleotide ribosomal RNA is filed under the name uncultured bacterium. RNAcentral's name for it is "partial 16S ribosomal RNA". It matches the Rfam family "Bacterial small subunit ribosomal RNA", at positions 84 to 339 of the family's 1533-position model. The record is from RNAcentral.